CGGCGGACGGGUGGGUAACACGUGGAUAACCUACCUAUAAGACUGGGAUAACUUCGGGAAACCGGAGCUAAUACCGGAUAAUAUAUUGAACCGCAUGGUUCAAUAGUGAAAGACGGUUUUGCUGUCACUUAUAGAUGGAUCCGCGCCGCAUUAGCUAGUUGGUAAGGUAACGGCUUACCAAGGCAACGAUGCGUAGCCGACCUGAGAGGGUGAUCGGCCACACUGGAACUGAGACACGGUCCAG
RNAcentral lists this ribosomal RNA (244 nucleotides) under uncultured Staphylococcus sp. Its description in RNAcentral is "partial 16S ribosomal RNA". It matches the Rfam family "Bacterial small subunit ribosomal RNA", at positions 96 to 334 of the family's 1533-position model. The record is from RNAcentral. Lineage: Bacteria; Bacillati; Bacillota; Bacilli; Caryophanales; Staphylococcaceae.